RNAcentral lists this ribosomal RNA (468 nucleotides) under uncultured bacterium. RNAcentral describes it as "partial 16S ribosomal RNA". It matches the Rfam family "Bacterial small subunit ribosomal RNA", at positions 28 to 507 of the family's 1533-position model. The record is from RNAcentral.
GACGAACGCUGGCGGCGUGCUUAACACAUGCGAGUCGAACGGAAAGGCCCUGCUUUUGUGGGGUGCUCGAGUGGCGAACGGGUGAGUAACACGUGAGUAACCUGCCCUUGACUUUGGGAUAACUUCAGGAAACUGGGGCUAAUACCGGAUAGGAGCUCCUGCUGCAUGGUGGGGGUUGGAAAGUUUCGGCGGUUGGGGAUGGACUCGCGGCUUAUCCGCUUGUUGGUGGGGUAGUGGCUUACCAAGGCUUUGACGGGUAGCCGGCCUGAGAGGGUGACCGGCCACAUUGGGACUGAGGUACGGCCCAGACUCCUACGGGAGGCAGCAGUGGGGAAUAUUGCACAAUGGGCGGAAGCCUGAUGCAGCAACGCCGCGUGCGGGAUGACGGCCUUCGGGUUGUAAACCGCUUUCGCCUGUGACGAAGCGUGAGUGACGGUAAUGGGUAAAGAAGCACCGGCUAACUACGUG